RNAcentral lists this ribosomal RNA (468 nucleotides) under uncultured bacterium. RNAcentral's name for it is "partial 16S ribosomal RNA". It matches the Rfam family "Bacterial small subunit ribosomal RNA", at positions 28 to 507 of the family's 1533-position model. The record is from RNAcentral.
GACGAACGCUGGCGGCGUGCUUAACACAUGCAAGUCGAACGGAAGGGCCCUGCUUUUGUGGGGUGCUCGAGUGGCGAACGGGUGAGUAACACGUGAGUAACCUGCCCUUGACUUUGGGAUAACUUCAGGAAACUGGGGCUAAUACCGGAUAGGAGCUCCUGCUGCAUGGUGGGGGUUGGAAAGUUUCGGCGGUUGGGGAUGGACUCGCGGCUUAUCAGCUUGUUGGUGGGGUAGUGGCUUACCAAGGCUUUGACGGGUAGCCGGCCUGAGAGGGUGAACGGCCACAUGGGGACUGAGAUACGGACCAGAGUCCUACGGGAGGCAGCAGGGGGGAAUAUUGCACAAUGGGCGGGAGCCUGAUGCAGAAACGCCGCGUGCGGGAUGACGGCCUUCGGGUUGUAAACCGCUUUAGCCUGUGACGAAGCGUGAGUGACGGUAAUGGGUAAAGAAGCACCGGCUAACUACGUG